This 1106-nucleotide long non-coding RNA is filed under the name Citrus x clementina. Its description in RNAcentral is "Citrus clementina (C. clementina) long non-coding RNA (CCLE_LNC005055)". The record is from RNAcentral. Lineage: Eukaryota; Viridiplantae; Streptophyta; Magnoliopsida; Sapindales; Rutaceae.
AAGGCGCCUCGCAAAGUCUCGCGCCAUCCGAGUCCGGCAGACGAAGUCGGCCAGCCCCACCCCCCAAGGCUAUAGCCCACCCGUUUUUGUGGGCUUUUUCCGCUGGACGAACCUGGCGCCCCGGCCUUCGGGCAGUUACUUUUGGGCGCGGCUGUGCCCGCGGCCUUUUUUUGGCACACGGAGGUGCCUCGCAAAGUCUCGCGCCAUUCCGAGUCCGGCGGACGAAGUAGGCCAGCACCACCCCCCAAGGCUAUAGCCCACCCGUUUUUGUGGCCAUUUUCCGCUGGACGAACUUGGUGUCCCGGCCUUCCAGCGGUUAUUUUUGGGCGUGGCUUUGCCCGCGGCCUACUUUUGGCACACGUAGGCCCCUCGCAAGGUCUUGCUGCUUUCCGAGUCCGGCUGAUGAAGUUGGCCAGCCCCACACCCCAAGGCUAUAGCCCACCCGUUUUUGUAGCCUUUUUCAGCUGGACGAACUUGGCGCCCCGGCCUUCGGGCGGUUAUUUUUGGGCGCGGCUUUGUCCGCGGCCGAUUUUUUGCAUACGGAGGCCCCUCACAAAGUCUCGCGGCAUUCCGAGUCCGGCGGACGAAGUUGGCCAGCCCCACCCCCCAAGGCUAUAGCCCACCCGUUUUUGUAGACUUUUUCCAAUGGACGAACCUGGCGCCCCGGCCUUCGGGCGGUUAUUUUUGGGCGCGGCUUUGUCCGCGGCUGAUUUUUUGCAUACGGAGGCCCCUCGCAAAGUCUCGCGGCAUUCCGAGUCCGGCGGACGAAGUUGGCCAGCCCCACCCCCCAAGGCUAUAGUCCACCCGUUUUUGUGGGCUUUCUCCGCUGGACGAACAUGGCGCCCCGGCCUUCGGGCGGUUAUAUUUGGGCGCGGCUGUGCCCGUGGCCUAUUAUUCGCACACGGAGGCGCCUCGCAAAGUCUCGCGCCAUUCCGAGUCCGGCGGACGAAGCUGGCCAGCCCCACCCCCCAAGGCUAUAGCCCACCCGUUUUUGUAGCCUUUUUCAGCUGGACGAACUUGGCGCCCCGGCCUUCGGGCGGUUAUUUUUGGGCGCGGCUUUUCCGCGGCCGAUUUUUUGCACACGGAGGCCCCUCGCAAAGUCUCGC